ACUGGCUUCGACUUCGGUCGUUGAUUCGGGAGAAGCGAGCCGUGGUCUCCGGAGCCACGUUAAAGAGCCGGAACCAAAAACAAACGCCGAGCCUCAGCUCAGCCUCGCUGCCUAAUUAGGUAGCGCGUCCGUCCGGUCUCAGCCCUGUGGGCCGGUAGCGGGCGUCAUUAAGCAGGGCUCACCCUCCUGGGCUCGUCAGCGGAUCGGGAGGGGACACCUCAGCUGACUGGGGUCCCGCACUGGCGCCGGUGGCUGGGCGGGACCCGAGAUCCUCCCACCGGCUGCGCUCGGAGAAGCCCCGUGGAGGAGCCGGAGGACGCGGGUUCGAUUCCCGCN
Molecule: transfer-messenger RNA, 336 nt
Filed under: Acidimicrobiaceae bacterium
Lineage: Bacteria; Bacillati; Actinomycetota; Acidimicrobiia; Acidimicrobiales; Acidimicrobiaceae
Rfam family: transfer-messenger RNA
About the family: Bacterial tmRNA, also known as 10Sa RNA or SsrA, is named for its dual tRNA and mRNA-like properties. Its role is to liberate the mRNA from a stalled ribosome.
Source: RNAcentral